GCACGUCGGUCGGUCUCAUCCUCUACAGCCAUUGAGCGAGCUCUGCUCGGCCCUCUCCUGUGCGCACGUUGCCUUGCUUCUUCCCUAGACGCUCGCCAUCGCUAAUGCUGGGCAUUCCCUCUCUGUUGUCAACCCCUGGACUCCAACCUCGCUAGCCCUUGCGUCAACGCCGGCGAGCUCGCUUCGAGCUCCAUCCAUGGCCACGAGUCCACCUCCGCCGAGCUGCCAUGGUGCGCAGGGCAUCCUCUUCUCAACCUCCUCCCUGCGGCGCGCAACAUUGCACUUCCACUGGCAGCGCGCCCUCCCUGUGAUGGACACGUUGUUCCCUUCCUCAGAACUGCUAGUCUUCGUCCAGGUGUGCCAGCCACCGUGCACAUAGGGGUCAGCCUUGUAAUACCCAAAAUUAGUAUAAAAAAAGAUAACAG
Molecule: long non-coding RNA, 425 nt
Filed under: Zea mays
Lineage: Eukaryota; Viridiplantae; Streptophyta; Magnoliopsida; Poales; Poaceae
Description: long non-coding RNA NONZMAT002924
Source: RNAcentral